Callithrix jacchus (white-tufted-ear marmoset) is the source of this 15335-nucleotide non-coding RNA. The record is from RefSeq and is a predicted model, not a curated record. Lineage: Eukaryota; Metazoa; Chordata; Mammalia; Primates; Cebidae.
CCAGGGUUAUUGUGACCAAUGAAGUUUCUUCAACUACUGUUGAUGGGCUGCUGUGCACGGGUACGGAGUGCACAGGGAACCUAGUAGGCAAGAUCCCUGCCAUCGUGCAUCUUACUGUCAGGUUGACACAGACCUUAAGGACACACCUGUGAUGCUUGAGUAAAAUUUGUAGGAACCGACCUAGAAACUUGUCGUUGGCAGCCAGUAAUGUUAAGCCCAGAAAUGGAGUCUUGCUUUUUGGCCAGGCUGGUCUUGAGCUCCUGGACUCAAGUGGUCCUCCUGCCUCAACCUGCCAAAGUCCUGGAAUUACAGAUGAGAAAACAGAGACAAAGAAUCACCCAGGAUGGCACUACUGGGGUUUCAAAACGGGCAAUAUGACUCACGACUGGGUCUUUCAGGUAUGAAAAACUAAAGAGACUUCCAGUUGUGGACAAGAUGAAAUACACACUUCUCAUUCCUCCCAGGGAGGCCAUGUGAAGAGCCUGGAUUUUCACUUCCACUUGGUAGUAACAAGGCAGCAUCAACCUUCCCCCGACUGGUGCAGUAUCAGAGGAAACCUGCUAAAACCAAAGAUAUAAAUGAGAUCCAGAGUCUCAUAACAUAAUAACCAAAGUAUCCAGGAUUACAUUUUUUAAAUCAUUCUUUAUCUCAAGAACCAAGAAGAUCUUAACUAGAAUGAGAAAAAGACAGUCCACAGAUGGCAACACUGAAAUGGCCCAGACAUUUGAACUGUCUGACAAAGAUUUUAAAUUCUGAACAUGCUUGAAACAAAUGAAAAGUAGAAAGCUUUGGUGAAGAAAUAGAAUAUAUAAAGAAAAGCCAAAUAAAACCUUUAACUGAAAAGAUACAAUAAAAUAUUAAACUCACAGGAUGUGCUCAAUAAUAGACUAAAUAAGACAAAAGAAUAAAUCAGUAAAUUUGAAGUUAGAUCAAUAAAAUAUAACCAGCUUCAACAACGCGAAGAAAAUACACUGAAGAAAAAAAUCACAGAACCUCAGGAACCUGUGGAACCUUAACAAAAACCAAUCAUUUGUAUUAUCAGAGAGGAGUGAGAGUGUGGGAUUGAAAAAGUGUUCAACAAAGUUUUCCUAAAUUUGGCAUCAGGCAUAAACCUAUAGAUUUCACAGGGUAAUUGAGCCUUCAGCAGAAAACAACAACAACAAAGAAAUAUAACCAAGACACAUUAUAAUCAAACUCUGGACAACUAAAAACAGUGAAAAAGCUGAAAGCAAUAAGAGAGAAAUGAUGAUUUACCUGUAGGAAAAAAACAAUUCAAACAUCAGACUUCUCAUCCAAAACCAUGCAGGCCAAAAGGAAGUGUCACACGAUUUUUGAAGUGUUUAAAGAAAAGAACUGUGGGCUGGGGGCGGUGGCUCACUCCUGUAAUCCCAGCACUUUGGGAGGCCAAGGCAGGUGGAUCACGUGGGGUCAGGAAUUCAAGAUCAGUCUGGCAAACAUGGUGAAACCCUACCUCUACUAAAAAUACAAAAAUUAGCUUGGCGUGGUGGUGCGCGCCUAUAAUCCCAACUACUUGGGAGACUGGGGUAGGAGAAUAGCUUGAACCUGGGAGGCGGAGAUUGCAAUGAGCCAAGAUCACACCACUGCACUCCAGCCUGGGCAACAGAGUGAGAACCUGUCGAAAGAAAAAGAGAGGAAAGAAAGAAAGAGAAAGGAAGGAGGGAGGGAACCCUGAACCCAUAAUUUUACAUAUGGGCAAAAAUAGCCUUCAGGAAUGAAGGUGAAAUCAAAACAUUCCCUUUUUUUUUUUUGAGACGGAGUUUCGCGCUUGUUACCCAGGCUGGAGUGCAAGGGCGCGAUCUCGGCUCACGGCAACCUCCGCCUCCUGGGUUCAGGCAAUUCUCCUGCCUCAGCCUCCUGAGUAGCUGGGAUUACAGGCACGUGCCACCAUGCCCAGCUAAUUUUUGGUAUUUUUUUUAGUAGAGACGGGGUUUCACCAUGUUGACCAGGAUGGUCUCGAUCUCUUGACCUUGUGAUCCACCCGCCUCGGCCUCCCAAAGUGCAGGGAUUACAGGCUUGAGCCACCGCGCCUGGCCAAAACAUUCUCAUAUUAAGAAAAACUAAAAGAAUCUGUCACCAGCAGACCAAUCCUAAAAAAAUGUCUAAAGGAACUCUUUAAACAGAAACAAUUAGAGACAAUCAUGAAACAUCAGGAAGGAAAAAGGAACAACAGAAAGAGUAAAAAUGUAGAUAAGCACAACAGACUUCUCUUCUUGAGUUUUCUAAAUUAUGUUUGAUUGUUGAAGCAAAAAUUAUAACAUUGGCUAAUGCGAGUCUCAAAAUACGUAGAGGAAACAUUUUAGACAAUGUAUUGUCAAAGAAGGUGGGUAAAGGGAAUUAAAAGGAGGUCAGGGUUCUAUACUUCACUUAAAUCGGUAAAAUGUUGACACCAAAAAAUAAAAUAAAAGGCUGGACACAGAGGCUCAUGCCUGUAAUCCCAGCACUUUGGGAGGCCAAGGCAGGCAGAUCACCUGAGGUCAGGAGUUCAAGACCAGCCUGGCCAACAUGGUUAAACCCCGUCCCUACUAAAAAUAAAAAAAUUAGCCAGACUCGGUGACCAGCGCCUGUAAUACCAGCUACUUGGGAGGCUGAGGCAGGGAGAAUCGCUUGAACCUGGAAGAUGGAGGUUGCACUGAGCCGAGAUUGCGCCAUUGUACUCCAGCCUGAGUGACAGAGCAAGACACCAUCUCAAAAAAUAAAAUAAAAUGCAAAUCCAAAGAAUACAAAAAGAAGAAAGUGAUAAAUUAUGCCAAUUCCAUUUUUUUAAAUGUAAAGCAAAAAGCUUCUUUUGAAAUGGAGAUGUGAAAGAUUCCAUAUUACUAAAUUGCUUCAUAUGACAGUGAUAAAGCAUCUUCAUACUAUAGGCAGCUUAUGGCUCAGCCUGUUUUCAUGAUCAGCUUUAUGAGACUUUAAUGCACUCAGCUGACAGUAUGGGGAGGGCAUUCUCCCACCUUGACUUGAGAACCCACAUAGCUCUGGCAACCCGGGAGGUAGUAGGGAAUUUGAGAGAAAGGACUCUUCUUGGCCAUGAACUCUUCUUGGAGAACUCAGACAGUCAAGGAAACUGAUGAGAAGCAGGAGCAGAAGAGUGAGAGUAAUUUUGUCCCCAGCAUGUGAGACAAUACCUGGAGAACUGUGAGAAAAUACCGGGCGUAUAAGCAGAGAUUAGGUACUUCAGUGGAUAGGCAGAGACUCAAAGUCAUUGUAAUUAGAAUACUAAAGUAGCCCUUUUUUUUUUUUUUUUUUUUGAGACAGUCUUGCUCUGUCACCCAGGCUUGAGUACAGUGGUGCAGUCUCUGCUCACUACAGCCUCCACCUCCUGGGUUCAAGAGAUUCUCCUGCCUCAGCCUCCCACAUAGCUAGGAUUACAGGCACCUGCUACUAUACCUGGCUAAUUUUUAUAUUUUCAGUAGAGAUGGGGUUUCAUCGUGUUGGCCAGGCUGGUCUCAAGCUCCUGACCUCAAGUGAUCUGCCUACCUCAGCCUCCCAGAGUGCUGGGAUUACAGGCACACGCCACCAUGCCCAACUAAUUUUUUUUUAAAUUUUAUUUUUAGUAGAGACAUGUUGACCAGGAUGAUCUCGAUCUCUUGACCUCGUGAUCCACCCGCCUCAGCCUCCCAAAGUGCUGGGAUUACAGACGUGAGCCACCGCGCCCAGCCGCCUUCUGAUUUCUAUUUAAAUAACUUUGUGAUCUGGGGGUUUCCGUUUUGGAAUUAUACUCAAGAAAAAUUUCUGAACAUUUUGGGACUCUCCCAUUCACAGUGAGAACGAACACAUUUUAAAUUAAAAACAUUAUUUGCUUACCGGGGUUGUAAGUAAAAUAUAACUGGUAAAAUCAGAGGCUCCUUUUAUUAAAAGAAGUAAUGCAUGAUCAAAGCAAUUCUGGAGAAAAUAAUUUCAAUCUAGAUCUACCAAUCAUGGUAUAGGUGUGCCUCUGGCGUGCACAUGUCUUUUGCAUACCUUACAUGUGCACAUGAUUUAUGCUCACCCCACCCCUCCCAGGAACCUGUAGAGUCAAGGACUGUCUCAGUUAUCACUAAGACUUACAUAAAAAGGUGGGGGUGGGGGGAGGGGGAGGAGUGUAUAUGAGCUGUAAACGCCAAGACCCACUGUCUAAUUUAUCUGCCUCCUUCAUUUUUAAAAAUAACCAUUUAUAAUAUGUCUAUUUAAUGAAUAUAUCAAAAAGAAAAGAACCUGAACGAUUGCUUAGUCUACUUUCUUGCUUCAGGGACAGAUCUGUUUCUGAUUCAACUCACAAAUUAAUCCUUGGGCAAUAACAUUCCAAGCCCUCUUGGUAAUUUAUUGCAUUGGGGCCGAUCCCUACUACCCAACCCAGAACUUAGUUGGAUUGGAGAACAAGAUGGGGCAUAAAUGAACAAGAUGGGGCAUAAAUGAAUGGAAGUAUUAAUGAGCAAUAGAGGGAAAGAGAGCAAACAUAAAAGCAAAAGGGAAAAAAGGAGUGGUUUUUGAAAUGAAAACAGAAUUAUUCAAAAAGUUAUGUGAUUCAAUUUUUAGUUAAACACGGCAGAUGAACCAAAUCUAUUUAUUUUGCUGCAUUCUAAAAUUUCACCACAACAACUGUACUUGAAUUGUUUUCUUUUGUUUUGUUUGAGAUGAAGUCUUACUGUAUCCCUCAGGCUGGAGUGCAAUGGUGUGAUCUUGGCCCACUGCAACCUCUGCCUCCUGGGUUCAAGGGAUUCUCCUGCCUCAGCCUCCUGAGUAGCUGGGAUUACAGGUGUGCACCACCAUGCCUAACUAAUUUUUGUAUUUUUAGUAGACAUGAGGUUUUACUACGUUGGUCAGGCUGGUCUCAAACUCCUGACCUCAUGAUUUGCCUGCCUUGGCCUCCCAAAAUGCUGGGAUUACAGGCGUGAGCCAUCUUGCCCGGCCUAUACUUGAAUUUUUAAUGAAUUUAUUGAGGUACACUUGACAUUCAAACUACACACAUUUAAAGUGCACAGUUUUAUAAGUGUAUGCAUGUGUCUGUGUGUGUGUAUACAUAUAUAUACAUACAUGUACAUGUAUAUGUAUACACACACACACACACACACUCAUAUAUGUAUAUCCACCACCAGCAUUUAAAUCAAGAUAAUGAACUUACAUAUAAUCCCUAAAAGUUUCCUUGUGCCCCUUUGUAAUAUCUCCUUCAGAUGCUUCCCACCCCAUACCCUUUCCCAGGCACCCACUGAUCUGCUUUCUGGUCAUUAUGUAUUAGUUUCCAUCCUAGAAUUUCACAAAAAUGAAAUUGUACAGUUUGUAAUCUUUUAUGUCUGGCUUCUUUCAUUCAGCAUACUUAUUUUAGCAUUUUGUUGUAGAAGGUAUCAAUAGUCCAUUCUUUAUUGUGGAAUACUAUUUUUUGUAUGGACAUACCACACUGUUUAUCCCAUUACUUGAGGAAUAUUUGCAUUGUUUCCUGUUUGGGGCUAUUACAUAAACUUCCUAUGUAUAUUUGCGAACAAGUCUUUGUGUGGAUAUGUGCUUUUACUUCCCUUGGGUAACUACUUAGGAUUGAAAUGGCAGGAUUGUGUGAUAUGUAUAUGUUUAACUUUUAAGAAAUUCCCAAAUUGGUUUUCAAAGUGGUUAUUGUUGAGCAGUGUAGAAACAUCCUUGACAACAGUUGGUAUAGUCUUUUAAAUUUUACUUAUUUUAAUAAGUCUGCAAUGGUAUCUCAUUCUGAUUUUGGUUUAUAUUUUCCUAAUGACUAAUGAUGUUGAGCAUCUUUUCAUCCAUAUGUCUUCUUCAGUGAAAUAUAUAUUUAGAUAUUUUGCCCAUAUUUUAACUGGGUUGUUUAUAUUUCUAUUACUGGCAUUUGAGAGUUCUUGAUAUAAUUUAGAUACAGUUCAUCAUCAUAAUUUUGCUUUGAAAAUAUUUUCAGCCAGGCACAGUGGCUCACGCCUGUAAUCCCAGCACUUUGGGAGGCUGAGGUGGGCGGAUCGCCUGAGGUCAGGAGUUCAAGACCAGCCUGACCAAUAUGGUGAAACCCUAUCUUUAAAAAUAUACAUAUAUUUUGUAAUCCCAGCACUUUGGGAGGCCGAGGCGGGUGGAUUACAAGGUCAACAGAUCGAGACCAUCCUGGUCAACAUGGUGAAACCCCGUCUCUACUAAAAUUACAAAAAAUUAGCUGGGCACGGUGGCGCGUGCCUGUAAUCCCAGUUGCUUGGGAGGCUGAGCCAGGAGAAUUGCCUGAACCCAGGAGGCGGAGAUUGCGGUGAGCAGAGAUCGUGCCAUUGCACUCCAGCCUGGGUAACAAGAGUGAAACUCCGUCUCAAAAAAAAAAAAAAAUACAUAUAUAUAUACAUAUAUUUUUGGGCCGGGCACGGUGGCUCAUGCCUGUAAUCCCAGCACUUUGGGAGGCCGAGGCAGGUGGAUCACGAGGUCAAGAUAUCGAGACCAUCCUGGUCAACAUGGUGAAACCCCGUCGUCUCUACUAAAAAUACAAAAAAUUAGCUGGGCAUGGUGGCGCGUGCCUGUAAUCCCAGCUACUCAGGAGGCUGAGGCAGGAGAAUUGCCUGGACCCAGGAGGUGGAGGUUGCCGUGAGCCGAGAUUGCACCAUUGCACUCCAGCUUGGGUAACAAGAGUGUAACUCCGUCUCAGAAAAAAAAAAAAAAUUAUAUAUAUAUAUAUAAAAUUUUUUUUUCUCUGAGUCUGUGGCUUGGCUUUCUAUUCUCUUAACAAUGUCUUUUGAAGAGUAGACAUUUUAAAUGUUAUUGAAGUGCAAUUUAUCAAUUAUUUCUUUUCCUUCUCUUCUUCUUCUCCUUCUGCUUCCUUUUUUUUUUUUUUUUUUUUAAUGAAUUCUCACUCUGUUGCCCAAGCUGUAGUGCAGUGGUAUGAUCUCAACUCACUGCAACCUUGGCCUCUAGAUUUCAAGCAAUCCUCUUGCAUCAGCCUCCCAAGUAGUUGGGAUUAUGGGCAUGCGCCACCAUGCCCAGCUAAUUUUCGCAUUUUUAGUAUAGAUGGGGUUUCACUGUGUUGGCCAGGCUGGUCUUGAACUCCUGACCUCACAUGAUCUGCCUGCCUCAGCCUCCCAAAGUGCUAGGAUUACAGGCAUGAGUCACUGCACCCAGCCUUUAUCAAUUUAUUCUUUUAUAGAUUGUGCUUUUGACAUUAUGUUUAACAAAUCUUUGCCUAGUCAAAACUCACAAAAAUUUUCUCUUAUGUUUUCUCCUGGAAGUGUUAUAGUUUUGUAGUUUUACAUUUAAGUCCAUCAUCCAUUUUGAGUUAAUUUUUAUAUAGGGUAUAACCCAUUAAUUGAAGUUUUUAUUAUUUAUUUAUUUUUUAGAGACAGAAUCUGGCUUUGUCACCCAGGUUGAAGUACAGUGAUACAAUCCUAACUCAAUGCAGCCUCCAACUCCUGGGCUAAGUGAUCCUCCAACUUCAGCCUCCUGAGUAGUUAGAACUACCAGUUGGUACCACCACACUCAGGUUUUUUUCUUAGAGCUGGGAUCUUACUAUGUUACCCAGGGCUAGUCUCAAGUUCCCAGCCUCAAGCAAUCCUCCACCUCAGCCUCCUAAAGUACUGAGAUUCCAGAUGAAAGCCACUGUGCCUGGCCAAAAGCUGUUUUUUUAAAAAUGUUUUGUUUUGUUUUUGUUUUUUGCAUAUGGAUGCCCAAUUGUUCCCAUAGAGGCAUUUGUUGAAAAGAAUAUAAUUUCUCCACUGAAUUGCCUUUGCGUACUUUGGGGAAAUCAGUUAUUCAUAUACAUAUGCGUCUAUUUCUCUUCUUUCUAUCCUGUUCCAUUCUGUAUUUGUCUCUCUUCAUGCCAAUACCACCAUGUCCUGAUUUCCAUAGCUUUAUUACUUUUGAAAUUAAGUGGUGUUAGACCUUCAGCUUUGUUCUUCUUUCUCAAAGUUAUUUCAGCUGUUGUAGGACCUUUGCAUUUUCAUUUGAAUUUUACAAUCAGCUUGUCAAAUUCUAUGUAAAAUCCUGCUGGGUCUUUUUUUGGAAUGGCACUGAAUCCAGAGAUCAAUGUGGGGAGUGAUAUGAGUUGGCUGUGUCCCCACCCAAAUCUUAUCUUGAACUGUAUAGCUCCUGUAAUCCCUACAUGUCAUGGGAGGGACCUGGUGGGAGAUAAUCAAAUCAUGGGGAUGGGUUUUUUUCAUGCUGUUCUCAUGAUAGUGAAUAAAUCUCAUGAGAUAUAAUUGUUUUAUAAAGGGAAGUUCCCCUACACAUGCGCUCUUGCCUGUCACCAUGGAAGAUGUGCCUUUGCCCCUCCUUUGCCUUCCGCUAUGGUUUUGUGGCCUCCUCAGCCAUGUAAAAUUCUGAAUCCAUUAAACCUCUUUUUCUUUAUAAAUGACCCAGUCUCAGAUAUUUCUUCAUAGCAAUAUGAAAAUAUACUAAUACAUUAAAUUGGUACCAGGAGUGGGGUGCUGCUAUAAGGAUACCGGAAAAUGUGAAGGUGACCUUGGAACUGGGUAACAGGCAGAGGUUGGAAGAGUUUGGAGGGCUCAGAAGAAGGCAAGAAAAUGUCGGAAAUAUGGAACUUCCUGGAGAUUUGUUGAAUGGCUCUGACCAAAAUACUGAUAGUGACAUGGACAAUACAUUCCAGGCAGAGGUGGUUUCAGGUAGAAAUGAAUAACUUGUUUGUACCUCAUUUUUUCAGGUAGAAAUGAGGAACUUUGCUUGACUCUUGUUAAGCAAAGAGACUGGCAGCAUUUUGCCCUUGCCCUAGAGAUCUGUCUAACUUUAAAUUUGAGAGAGAUGAUUUAGGGUAUCUGGCAGAAGAAAUCUCUAAGCAACAAAGUGUUCAAGAGGAAGAGCAUAAAAGUUUGGAAAAUUUGCAGCCUGGUUAUGCAAUGUAAAAGAAAACCCCAUUUUCUGUGGAGAAAUUCAAGCCUGCUGCAGAAAUUUGCCUAAGUAAAGAGGAUCAAAAUAUUAAUCACCAGGACAAUGGGGAAAAUGUCUCCAGGGCAUGUCAGAGACCUUCAUGACAGCCCUUCCCAUAACACGCCUGGAAAUCUAGGAGGCAAAAAUGAUUUCGUGGGCUGGGCCCAGGGCUCCCCUUCUCUAUGAAGCACCUCUGCUCUAUGCAACAUGAUGCUGUGCAUCCCAGGUGCUUCAGCUCCAGCUGUGGCUAAAAAGAGUGAAUGUACAGCUCAGGCUGUUGCUUCAAAGGGUGCAAAUUCCAAGCCUUUGUGGCUUACAUGUGGUAUUGGGCCUGCAGGUGCACAGAUCAAGAUUUAAGAUUUGGGAACCUCCUAGAUUUCAGAGGAUGUACGGAUAGGCCCGGAUGUCUAGGCAGAGAUGUGCUGCAGGGGUGGAGCCCUUAUGGAGAACCUCUGCUAGGGUAGUGCAGAAGGGAAAUGCGGGGUGGGAACCCCCACAUAGAGUCUCCACUAGGGCACUGCCUAGUGUAGCUGUAAGAAGAAGGCCACCAUCCUACAGUCCCCAGAAUGGUAGAUCCACCAACAACUUGCACAGUGCACCUGGAAAAGCCACAGACACAUAACACCAGCCCAUGAAAGCAGCUGGGAGGGGAGCUGUAUCCUGCUAAACCACAGAAGUGGAGCUUCCCAAAGCUAUGGGAGCCCAGCUCUUGCAUCAGCGUGACCUGAAUGUGAAACAUGGAGUCAAAGGAAAUCAUUUAAGAACUUUAAGGUUUAAUGACUGCCCUGUUGGAUUUCAAACUUGCAUGGGGCCUGUGGCCCCUUUGCAAUAGAAAGGUUGGAUAUUACAACAGACAAUGUCACCUAGAAAACAGACCAAAAUAAAAGAUAUGGAACAUAGAAGAAAAAAUAAGAAACUUAUUGCAUCUAGUCCAGGAAGUUCAACAUCCAGCAAAUAAGAGUUGUGGAAAGAGAAAACAGAGCAAAUAGAGGAGAUAAUUUUUUCAAAGAGUACAGACAAAAUUUCUCCAAAUUAAAGACAUGGAUUUCCAGACUGCAAGAGUUAAUGAGUGCCUGGAAAAAUAUAUUACAAUGAAAUCUAUCGAGAUACAUCAUCCUGAAAGUUUACUACAAUUGAAAUAAAGCAUUCUAAAACUUCUCAACAAAAGCAUUGAAAUCCAGAAGACCUUGAGCAAUGUCUUCUAAAAUGUAAGUUAAAUUUAUUUUCAACAUAGAAUUCUAUAGCCAAACCACUCAAGAAUAAAUAUAGAAUAAAUAUAUUUAAGACCAGUUAGAAAUACUAGGUCUUAAAUAAUUUAUCUUCCAGUGGAAGGUUUGCCUCACAAAAUACAGGUAUAAACCAAGAAGGAGAAAACUAGGUUUCAACACCCAAGAAAUAGGAAAAGGGAAUUCCUUGAAUUUUAGUAAAAUGAUGUCAAGAGAACUGUGUAGCCCACCUAGAAAGCAAUCAGCCUAGGCUAGGACAGAACAAAGGGCUCCAGGAAAAAUAUCAAACAAUUGCGUUGAUAAACUUCUAUGUGUUUAUAGCCAUUGGGAAAAGUUUUAUGGUUCUUACAAAUAUUUUGAGAAUGAAUUAAUGCUAAGUAUAUGAAAUAUUAAACAAAAAAUCAAGGCAAUUUUAUGUUCAAAGGUUGCACGAACAAAAAGUUGGACAGAAACGAGAUACAAUCACAAUUUUCUCUGUGGCUCAGUAAUAAUAGUUACAUAGUUCAUAAUAAAAUAACCAUGGAUAUUAAGCGAACCACAAAUUGUUACUUAAAUAUAUUGGAAAAAUGGGAUGAGAGGAAGUGAAGGUGAGGAAAGGAAGAUGGGCAUGUAGGAAAAAUAGAUUCUCAAUUUCCAUUUGGAAAAGAUAAUAGCUAAUGCUUAAUUUUGAAAAAAGUUUUAAAAUGGCCACAUACACUGGUAUUUAGAAAUAUGGUAGUAAAUACAAAAAAAAAUACAGCUAAAAAUGCUUAAACAGGGUACUUCUGGGGAAUGGAAAGGAAAAAUGGGGAAAGAUAUAGAUAGUGGAUUGCUAUUUUUCACUAUCAGGUUUAUGGAACUAUUUGACCUUUAAAAAUUAUUCAUAGAGAGCAGAUCACCUGACGUCAGGAGUUUGAGACCAACCUAGCCAACUUGGUGAAGCACUUAGGGAGCUUCUCUACUAAAAAUACAAAAUUAGCCAGGUGUGGUGGCACAUGCCUGUAAUCCCAGCUACUUGGGAGUCUGAGGCAGGAGAAUUGCUUGAACCUGGGAAAGGGAGGUUGCAGUGAGCUGAGAUUGUGCCAUUACAUUCCAGACUGAGCAAUAAGAGCAAAACUCUGUCUCAAAAAAACCCAAAAAUUAUUCUUAUGUAUAAUUAAAAUAUUUUGUUGAAAUAUACAUACCUAAAUGUUCACAUUUGCAUGUAAAAUUUUGAUUUAAAAAUACGUUGAAAUAAGUCAAAGGAACCAUAAGAGGCUUUGGCCUUGGGCAUAAUUUACUGUUGAUGGAAACGAUGAGCCACUAGAAGUGUUUCUGAAGGUUUGAUUUCAGGAGCAUUGGUCUGUGGUUCUCAAGCACUUUGGAGUCUUCUGAAGAAAAAGCAAUAAACAAUAUUACUCAUUCUUUUGAAAUAAACGAUUUAACUGUGACUUUCUCAGAAAGCUGGUUGCAUUCUUAAAAAUUUUACAGUCUUUGGGCCGGGCGCGGUGGCUCAAGCCUGUAAUCCCAGCACUUUGGGAGGCCGAGGCGGGUGGAUCACAAGGUCAAGAGAUCGAGACCAUCCUGGUCAACAUGGUGAAACCCCGUCUCUACUAAAAAUACAAAAAAUUAGCUGGGCAUGGUGGCACACGCCUGUAAUCCCAGCCACUCAGGAGGCUGAGGCAGGAGAAUUGCCUGAACCCAGGAGGCGGAGGUUGCAGUGAGCCAAGAUCAUGCCAUUGCACUCCAGCAUGGGUAACAAGAGCAAAACUCUGUCUCAAAAAAAACAAAAAAAAUUUACAGUCUUUUUUUACUACAGUGUUCUUAAGGUACAUCAGCAAUUUCAGUCAAUAACGAAGGAUUUGAACUGCUCAUUUUGACUAAAGUUCAGUUGACCAGAUAUAGAUUAUUUUUGCCUUUAUAGUUAUUUCUAUGUGAUUGUUUACUUUUGUCAAAUUUAACAACAUGGCUCUUAGAAGCCAAAAGUUAGUAAUGAAGAUAGUAACCAAAAUAAUAACUACUGCUAAGAAUCAUUUAGCUGUUCUAGGUAUUUGUCGACAUCACUUGUUUGGGCUAAGCCUAAUUUCAAGCUUUUCAAAAUGAACAAUAAGUGGAAAUUUCAGAACUCCGAGGAACCAGUAAUUAGUUAAGUAGUCUGCUGCUCCUUUUUCUCCAUGGCAGUGCCCCCUAACUUUGCCUGCACACCAGAAUCACUUGGGGAGCUUCUAAAAUUCCAGUCCCCAGGCCACACCACAGAACAGAUGGAGUUGCUCUCUUGUAGCCCAGGCUGGAGUGCAAUGGUGUGAACUUGAUUACUGAAAUCCCCAUCUCCCAGGUUCAAGCGAUUCUCCUGCCUCAGUCUCCCAAGUAGCUGGGAUUACAGGCACCCACCACCACGCCCAGACAGGGUCUCACUUUGUUGCCGAGGAUGGUCUAUGAACUCCUGGCCUCAAGCUAACCUCCUACCUCAGCCUCCCAAAGUGCUGGAAUUAACAAGUGUGAGCCAGUGGGCAUGGCCAGCUGUGCGAUUUUUUGAUUAGCUGAACAGAUUUCAGUUGUCUGGAAACCGCAACAUUUUUAUUGCUGCCACAGAUAGAAAUGAACAACUGGAAUGUCUUUCACUUCACCUCUCCAGAAUGCCAAUGCAAAAGGACUGACCUACGUCAACAGUAGACUAUGGUGGAAAAGAUGGUGUGUAACUUCUGAGAUUGGGUAAUAAAAGAUAUUGUGACUUCCUCCUUGUUAUUCUUGGAUUAAUCACUUUGGAGGAAGUUACCUAACAUGUCAGGAAGACAAUCAUGAUAGUCCUAUGGAGAGACCCUUGAGGAAAGGAAGUGAGGCCUCCUGCCAGCAACUGUGGGAAUGAGCCACCUUCCCAUGGCUGACGUCUUGAUUGUAACCUCAUGAAAGAACCUGAGCCAAAACCAUCCAGAGUCAAAAAAGGAGCCAGGUGGAGGACGACUCAAGAUGGCGCUGUGAGAACAACCCAGGAUUGAGGCUCUCGCUGGAUGCACGGAGAAGGGACAUGGAUGAAUCUGGAGAACAUCAUCCUCAGCAAACUGACACAAGAACAGAAAACAAAACACCGCAUAUUCUCACUCAUAGGAAAACGUCACUGGCAGCAUCAAAGCAUGAAAUUUUCCUGUCAUUCAUUGCACAUAAAAAUGUUCUGUUUCUCCUGGCUUUUAUGGAAACAUGACAUUGACUAUCAUGAAAAAGUGGCUGGAGUGCAAUGGCGCAAACUCGGCUCACCGCAACCUCCGCCUCCUGGGUUCAAGCAAUUCUCCUCCGUCAGCCUCCUGAAUAUCUAGGAUUACAGGCACGCACCACCAUGCCCAGCUAAUUUUGUGUAUUUUUAGUAGAGACGGCGUUUCACCAUGUUGACCAGGAUGGUCUUGAUCUCUUGACCUCGUGAUCCACCCACCUCGGCCUCCCAAAGUGCUGGGAUUACAGGCUUGAGCCACCACACCUGGCCUUAUAUAUUAUAUUUCUAUUGGGUAGCACUGAAAUAGACUGUAACUGCUUUAUCUCCUUUUUUCUUUUUAAAUCUCUUGUUCUUAAUCUCCCCCAUCCCCACCCUUUUUGGGUAUAACAUACAUACAUCAUGUACUUAUCUGAAGCACACACUUGUGUGUGCUUUUUUACCAAUGCAUACAUUCUUGUCAUCAACACCCAGAUCAAGAUACAGAACAUUUCCAUCACUACAGAAAGCUGCCUCAGGCCCUUUUCUAGUCAAUGUCCACUGACUCCCUUCUUUUGUGAUACCCACUAUUUAAUUGCCAUCACCAUCAGUAAGUUUUUCCUGCAUUAGAAGUUCAUGUAAAUGGAAUCACACAAUAUGUACUCUUUUGUGUCUGGCUUCAUGUGCUCACUGUGAUUGUUUUAAAGCUUUAUCUUCAUUGUUGAAUAUAUCAGUAGUUUGGUUUUUACUGCUUUGCAGAAUUCCAUUGUAUGGCAUACCACAUUUACCUAUUUUCCAGUUGACGGAUAUAUGGGUUGUUUCCAGUUUGGGCUAUUAUGAAUAAAGCUGUGAACAUUCAUAUAUAUGUAUAUCCCUCCUAAGCUUUAAAGAAAGAUUGUGAUAAAUCUUCAGCAAGACACUCCCAUCUAUUCACCCCACUCCAGUAUUUAACACAAUGCCCUUCUUGAAGGAUAUUUGUUGAAGCAUGAUUUCAAACAGCUGUGUGGUGAUUUAUUUGUCUCCUAGCCUUCGUAUGGAAAAUAAAGUUCAGUGGUAGAACAAAGUCUACUCAAAGUUUCCACUAUUAUCACAAAUAAUGAACCAAUAAGUCAGGAAGGCAGUCUGCUGUAUUUAAAUGAUCUAUUUCAGUCUUGUUGCUGGUUAAAAAUAGACUUCUGCUCCCAGAUAAAUUUUAGUGACUGAUCAUAAAAGAAUGUAAUAUUUCCUAUGCCAUUUUCUUUUUAAAAAUUCCUCCCCAUUCUCUCCAUCUCCUUUCCUUUUUCUUUUUAACAGCAAUUCAGAUAAAGGCAAGUUCUAAAUAAAAAUAUAAAUAAAUAUUCAAAGAAAUACAAUGUGUUUUGUAAGGAGCGUUAUUAUUGUGGUAGUUAAAACUUUCUUCUUCCAAAUCUCUUUUCUUUAAGUUUAUCUAUUUGAAAGACCACAGAAGCCAGACAUCUUGGGUUUGAGUCAUGGAUCCGAAAUCAUGAAUGAGGCUGGGAGCUUAAUCUCUGAGCCUCAGCGUUUCCCUGCUAAAUUGGGAAUAUAAUAUCUUCCAUACGGGGUUGCUUAGAGGAUUAAAAGCCCUAACAUAUGAUUAGGCAUGAGCCUUUGUGAAGCCCAGUCCUUAUUGAAGCCAUACCUUCUUCCUGCAUGAUUACUCUUUGCUCUUCUCUUUGUCUCUCUGAAAAUUUGGGCAUCAUCAGGCAUCGGUUUAUGCCAAAGUUCCCAAAUUGUGUGGCUAGCACCCUGGGGUGCCGAAACAAACUCACCAGGAGCACUCCAGGAUAUUUUAAAUUCUGAAGGGAAAUGGUAACCAUUGGUAUUUGUCAGACAUGUAAUGACUCCAAGUAGUGCACAGUUUCAACAUCAGAUUGUGGCACAUUAUUUUUCAUUAAUAUUAUAUCUUUGCAUUAUAGUACAUUUUUUUUCACCGAUUUCAUAUCUUUGCAAGACUGUGUUUUCUGUGGUUGUGUUGAUUAAAAAAAAAAAGGACUGUCUGAUUAUCAAUGUGCAACAGAAUGAGAAAGUCUCAUUUCAAGUUUAGAGAAAUUGGGCAGUAACCAACAGGCACAGACAUCUAAUUUAUAAGUGUGGUUGUUCAAGAAUGAAAUUAAAAAUAAAUUUUUUGA